RNAcentral lists this ribosomal RNA (200 nucleotides) under uncultured eukaryote. RNAcentral's name for it is "partial 18S ribosomal RNA". It matches the Rfam family "Eukaryotic small subunit ribosomal RNA", at positions 588 to 789 of the family's 1831-position model. The record is from RNAcentral.
GCUCCAAUAGCGUAUAUUAAAGUUGUUGCGGUAAAAAAGCUCGUAGUUGGAUUUCUGUUGAGGACGACCGGUCCGCACCAUGUGCGCGCAUCUGGCUCGGCCUCGGCAUCCUCUCGAAAGACGUUUCUGCGCUUGAUUGCGUGGGGCGGAUCUCGAGACUUUUUACUUUGAGGAAAUUAGAGUGUUCACGGCAGCUAUCG